GACGAACGCUGGCGGCGUGCCUAAUACAUGCAAGUCGAACGCUGAAGGAGGAGCUUGCUCUUCUGGAUGAGUUGCGAACGGGUGAGUAACGCGUAGGUAACCUGCCUGGUAGCGGGGGAUAACUAUUGGAAACGAUAGCUAAUACCGCAUAAGAGUAGAUGUUGCAUGACAUUUGCUUAAAAGGUGCAAUUGCAUCACUACCAGAUGGACCUGCGUUGUAUUAGCUAGUUGGUGGGGUAACGGCUCACCAAGGCGACGAUACAUAGCCGACCUGAGAGGGUGAUCGGCCACACUGGGACUGAGACACGGCCCAGACUCCUACGGGAGGCAGCAGGAGGGAAUCUUCGGCAAGGGACGGAAGUCUGACCGAGCAACGCCGCGUGAGUGAAGAAGGGUGUCGGAUCGUAAAGCUCGGUUGUAAGAGAAGAAAGAGUGUGAGAGUGGAAAGUUCACACUGUGACGGUAGCUUACCAGAAAGGGACGGCUAACUACGUG
This 495-nucleotide ribosomal RNA is filed under the name uncultured bacterium. Its description in RNAcentral is "partial 16S ribosomal RNA". It matches the Rfam family "Bacterial small subunit ribosomal RNA", at positions 28 to 507 of the family's 1533-position model. The record is from RNAcentral.